UACGAAGGGUGCUAGCGUUACUCGGAUUUACUGGGCGUAAAGGGCGCGUAGGCGGAUGGUAGAGUCAGACGUGAAAUUCCUGGGCUCAACCUGGGGGCUGCGUUUGAUACGUGCUGUCUGGAGUUCGGAAGAGGGUCGUGGAAUUCCCAGUGUAGAGGUGAAAUUCGUAGAUAUUGGGAAGAACACCGGUGGCGAAGGCGGCGACCUGGUCCGAUACUGACGCUGAGGCGCGAAAGCGUGGGGAGCAAACAGG
RNAcentral lists this ribosomal RNA (253 nucleotides) under uncultured bacterium. RNAcentral's name for it is "partial 16S ribosomal RNA". It matches the Rfam family "Bacterial small subunit ribosomal RNA", at positions 524 to 776 of the family's 1533-position model. The record is from RNAcentral.